UACGGAGGGAGCUAGCGUUGUUCGGAAUUACUGGGCGUAAAGCGCGCGUAGGCGGCUUUGUAAGUUAGAGGUGAAAGCCCGGGGCUCAACUCCGGAAUUGCCUUUAAGACUGCAUCGCUUGAAUCAUGGAGAGGUUAGUGGAAUUCCGAGUGUAGAGGUGAAAUUCGUAGAUAUUCGGAAGAACACCAGUGGCGAAGGCGACUAACUGGACAUGUAUUGACGCUGAGGUACGAAAGCGUGGGGAGCAAACAGG
This 253-nucleotide ribosomal RNA is filed under the name uncultured bacterium. RNAcentral describes it as "partial 16S ribosomal RNA". It matches the Rfam family "Bacterial small subunit ribosomal RNA", at positions 524 to 776 of the family's 1533-position model. The record is from RNAcentral.